Molecule: non-coding RNA, 614 nt
Organism: Dermacentor albipictus
Lineage: Eukaryota; Metazoa; Arthropoda; Arachnida; Ixodida; Ixodidae
Source: RefSeq, a predicted model, not a curated record
GUUAUUAGGUGACCCGUUCAAGGCCCAGGAAAUUGCUCUGUGAUCUUAGUAAAUUUCCCUGAACGAAAUCUGUGCUUCGUCAAAAUACAAUGUGUAAGUUUUAGUACACAACAAUACUGAUGCCCUAAAGUUGAACAAAAUAAUUUGAAAUAAGCUCUAUUAGAAAACGCUUAUAAACACGUUCCAAUGAGUAUUUUGAACAACGGAGCAUGUGAAUGUUUAUAUUACCUUUCUUACGUUUCAGGCAGCCAUGGGUGCUAAGCAUGCUGCAUUUCUUUUGGUGCUGAUGGCCCUUUCUGUCAAACUAAAUGAAGGUAAUUACAUAGGUAAACAAACGACUUGUUAUGGUAGACAAAAGCCUAAUUGCCUCAUGAAGGAGAAUGGCAAACUGCUCCAUCAAUGCAGCCCACCAGAAACCCCGUGCCCUAUUCCGUGGAAGUUUUUUUGUACUGGAGGGAGUGAGCUUACUUGCCCAUAUCGAAAUACAACCUGUAUGUGCUUCUGUAACUUCACAAGCACGAGCAAGACAGGCGAAACGCCACAAGCCGUUGAGCAGUUUUGAGAGCACUCACAAUUUCUACUGUGGCACCAUCAGUAAAAAGCAACGACUCAGC